RNAcentral lists this ribosomal RNA (406 nucleotides) under uncultured bacterium. RNAcentral's name for it is "partial 16S ribosomal RNA". It matches the Rfam family "Bacterial small subunit ribosomal RNA", at positions 30 to 526 of the family's 1533-position model. The record is from RNAcentral.
AUUGAACGCUGGCGGCAGGCCUAACACAUGCAAGUCGAACGAGUGGCGGACGGGUGAGUAAUGUCUGGUAAACUGCCCGAUGGAGGGGGAUAACUACUGGAAACAGUAGCUAAUACCGCAUACCAUCGGAUGUGCCCAGAUGGGAUUAGCUAGUAGGUGGGGUAACGGCUCACCUAGGCGACGAUCCCUAGCUGGUCUGAGAGGAUGACCAGCCACACUGGAACUGAGACACGGUGCAGACUCCUACGGUAGGCAGCAGUGGGGAAUAUUGCACAAUGGGAGCAAGCCUGAUGCAGCCAUGCCGCGGGUAUGAAGAAGGCCUUAGGGUUGUAAAGUACUUUCAGCGAGGAGGCGUUACUAGCAGAAGAAGCACCGGCUAACUCCGUGCCAGCCGCGGCGGUAAUUC